UACGUAGGGACCUAGCGUUGUCCGGAAUCAUUGGGCGUAAAGCGCGCGUAGGCGGCCCGGUAAGUCCGUUGUAAAAGUCGAAGGCUCAACCUUCGAAAGCCGAUGGAUACUGCCGGGCCAGAGUCCGGAAGAGGCGAGUAGAAUUCCUGGUGUAGCGGUGGAAUGCGCAGAUAUCAGGAGGAAUACCCAUAGCGAAGGCAGCUCGCUGGGACGGUACUGACGCUGAGGCGCGAAAGCGUGGGGAGCGAACAGG
Molecule: ribosomal RNA, 253 nt
Filed under: uncultured bacterium
Lineage: Bacteria
Description: partial 16S ribosomal RNA
Rfam family: Bacterial small subunit ribosomal RNA
Source: RNAcentral